UACAGAGGGGGGCAAGCGUUGUUCGGAAUUACUGGGCGUAAAGCGUGCGUAGGCGGUGGUCCAAGCCUGGUGUGAAAUCUCCCGGCUCAACUGGGAGGGUGCGCCGGAAACUGGGCCGCUGGAGUACGGGAGAGGCAAGCGGAAUUCCAGGUGUAGCGGUGAAAUGCGUAGAUAUCUGGAGGAACACCCGUGGUGCAGACGGCUUGCUGGACCGUGACUGACGCUGAGGCACGAAAAGCGUGGGGGAGCGAACAGG
RNAcentral lists this ribosomal RNA (256 nucleotides) under uncultured bacterium. RNAcentral describes it as "partial 16S ribosomal RNA". It matches the Rfam family "Bacterial small subunit ribosomal RNA", at positions 524 to 776 of the family's 1533-position model. The record is from RNAcentral.